GUUUAUCUUUAUAUCUUGGUAGUUUAUCUUUAUAACUAGGUAGUUUAUAUCCAGGUAGUUUAUCUAUAUAUAUAUCUAUAUAGUUUAUCUUUAUAUCCAGAUAGUUAAUCUUUAUAACUAGGUAGUUUAUAUCCAGGUAGUUUAUCUAUAUAUAUCUAUAUAGUUUAUCUUUAUAUCCAGGUAGUUUAUCUUUAUAUCUAGGUAGUUUAUAUCUAGGUAGUUUAUAUCUAGGUAGUUUUUCUUUAAAUCCAGGUAGUUUAUCUUUAUAUCUAGGUAGUUUAUCUUUAUAUCUAGGUAGUUUAUCUUUAUAUCUAGGUAGUUUAUAUCCAGGUAGUUUAUCUAUAUAUAUCUACAUAGUUUAUCUUUA
Molecule: long non-coding RNA, 367 nt
Organism: Oncorhynchus tshawytscha (Chinook salmon)
Lineage: Eukaryota; Metazoa; Chordata; Actinopteri; Salmoniformes; Salmonidae
Source: Ensembl